This 945-nucleotide long non-coding RNA is filed under the name Olea europaea subsp. europaea. The record is from RNAcentral. Lineage: Eukaryota; Viridiplantae; Streptophyta; Magnoliopsida; Lamiales; Oleaceae.
GAGUCUCUCAGCCCCUGCUUGUACUUCUGAAUUGAACACUUUGAAAAUUUCUAACUGUUGGGGCUUCCAUUGCAAAUUGUAGUACGAGGUUCGAGCUCAGCAGGGAAGAGUUCGAGGUGAUAGAGGACAUCUACAAGAGGCCUCUGAAGCUCCGCCACUUCGACCACCUGAUCGACAGGAGUUGCUACUUUCUGGAUUUUGGACUAAUGGCUUCCAGAGGUACGAGGCUCCCAUAGUUGUAAAUUUCGUUGUCUUUUUUAUUGGAUAUUGAUGUGCUGACUUGACGCUCUUAUGCAGAUAAAUUCAAGAGGAGGGAGUACCCAGCUCCAGACAUGGCUACAAUUUUGAAAGCCACCACAACCGCUAAGGCUAGGGCCUUGAAGCCGGGGUCCAGUGGGGCCAAAGAGGUCCGAGGUAAGGUGGAUCGCCUUUCCAAGGACAGUACUCUAAAAGCUUCCAAAGAGGGAGCUUCCCAGACGCAAGAGAGGCAAAAAGAGCCUCGGGGGAAAGAUAAAGUCCCAGAGGAGGCGAAGAGGAGGAAGCUGGUGCACGUUACUAGCUCGUCCGGGAAAUUUGGGACGUCAGUGUCCCACGAGGCCAAAUCAACAGGCGAGCCAAAACUGCCUCCAAAACCGCUCGCAUCUGCCUCCAAAACCAUCAAGUUAGAAAUGGUUAGAGAGGCUAAGGCUGAGGAGGCCAGAGACGAGGCUGCGAGGAGAGCUGCUGAGGCUGUCGAGGAGGAGGCAGCUAAACAAAAGCCUAUUCGGGAAAAGGGGAAGUCUCCAAGCUUCCAAGCUGGAAGGGAGGAGACCUUGGCCCCAUCCUUGGUAGAGGCUCUUCCCCAGGAGGUCCGAAGCGCCACGGAGAACUUUUACCGGUUCUGGACGGACAGGUGGCAGCUGCAUGCCUCCUCAUGCGAUGCUACUGACCUGACGAGGGCGUUGG